RNAcentral lists this ribosomal RNA (253 nucleotides) under uncultured bacterium. Its description in RNAcentral is "partial 16S ribosomal RNA". It matches the Rfam family "Bacterial small subunit ribosomal RNA", at positions 524 to 776 of the family's 1533-position model. The record is from RNAcentral.
GACGGAAGGUGCAAGCGUUGCUCGGAAUCACUGGGCGUAAAGGGUGCGUAGGCGGCUGUGCAAGUCUGGCGUGAAAGCCCCGGGCUCAGCCCGGGAAGUGCGCUCGAAACUGCACGGCUCGAGUGCCGGAGGGGAGAGUGGAAUUCCUGGUGUAGCGGUGAAAUGCGUAGAUAUCGGGAGGAACACCAGUGGCGAAGGCGGCGAUCUGGGAAGAUACUGACGCUGAGGUGCGAAAGCGUGGGGAGCAAACAGG